This 255-nucleotide ribosomal RNA is filed under the name uncultured bacterium. RNAcentral describes it as "partial 16S ribosomal RNA". It matches the Rfam family "Bacterial small subunit ribosomal RNA", at positions 167 to 424 of the family's 1533-position model. The record is from RNAcentral.
UACCGCAUACGUCCUACGGGAGAAAGCAGGGGACCUUCGGGCCUUGCGCUAUCAGAUGAGCUUAGGUCGGAUUAGCUAGUUGGUGAGGUAAUGGCUCACCAAGGCUACGAUCCGUAACUGGUCUGAGAGGAUGAUCAGUCACACUGGAACUGAGACACGGUCCAGACUCCUACGGGAGGCAGCAGUGGGGAAUAUUGGACAAUGGGCGAAAGCCUGAUCCAUAAGGGCCGCGUGUGUGAAGAAGGUCUUCGGAUU